RNAcentral lists this ribosomal RNA (253 nucleotides) under uncultured bacterium. RNAcentral's name for it is "partial 16S ribosomal RNA". It matches the Rfam family "Bacterial small subunit ribosomal RNA", at positions 524 to 776 of the family's 1533-position model. The record is from RNAcentral.
UACGAAGGGGGCUAGCGUUGCUCGGAAUUACUGGGCGUAAAGCGCACGUAGGCGGUUUCUUAAGUCGGGGGUGAAAUCCUGGAGCUCAACUCCAGAACUGCCUUCGAUACUGGGAGACUUGAGUUCGGGAGAGGUGAGUGGAACUGCGAGUGUAGAGGUGAAAUUCGUAGAUAUUCGCAAGAACACCAGUGGCGAAGGCGGCUCACUGGCCCGAUACUGACGCUGAGGUGUGAAAGCGUGGGGAGCAAACAGG